This 3703-nucleotide long non-coding RNA is filed under the name Zea mays. Its description in RNAcentral is "long non-coding RNA (ZMAY_LNC003706)". The record is from RNAcentral. Lineage: Eukaryota; Viridiplantae; Streptophyta; Magnoliopsida; Poales; Poaceae.
UCCAAAACUGGAGACACUGGUGAUGGUGCUAUUGUGUCACAACUGGGUUCCGGGGCACCGAGGCCUGGGCGCAAAACGAAUGUCACAUCUUUACUGUAUAAUAGGAGUUCUGUACAAACUAAAUAAAUAAUUACAUCAUAAGGAGACAACGAUCCAGCAACCCAAAGUUGACUGGGAGACGACGACCUAGACCUCUCACGAACUCAUCACAACAUUCUCCAUGCGCCUCACCCUGCAGUACCUGUUCUUGACCUGUGGGGGGUGUGAGACAGCAAGAGUGAGCUCACAUACGUUCAUCGCUCAACAAGUUGUGGGGAAUAAUGUGUAUGAACUUGCCAAAGGUGGGAGCUCAUGUGAAGUGUAAGGUUUACCAAAGAGGAUGGUUAAAGCUGAGCAUUGCUUUUAAAGUUGGUCAAAAUUUUAUUAGAAAUUACUAAGUAUAAGUAGAUACCAACCCAAUUAAGUAGUAGAACAAAAGUGAUAACAACACCUGCGAAGCAAUGCAUAUGCCAAAUUGAAUUUAGUUCCAUAAAUUACUCAUGUGAGGGUCCGAGCUGCUUAUGACCUUGAGCACGACUGAUAUACCGGUUUUACACUCUGCAGAGGUUGCACAUCUUUACCCACAAGUCAUGUUACCCAUCUGCCAAGGGAUCGCGACUUCCCAUACACCUCUACCGAGGAGGCGAGGCAGGGUAACACUACGAGGCCUUUACAAAGUUCCACAAGCUUCAGGAAAUCCGCUACAAUUUCUAGGAAGCUCCAAUGCAGGGACCCUUCGCCUGAUUGCCAUCGCAGCAAAAUGAACCCAAGGUCCUCCCUACACUGAUCACUCCCCUACUGCCCUUGCCCCUUUCGGGUAAGGUAGUCCUCCACUAGCUUUCCUAAUUAGUCAGCCAAGGGCGUCCUAUACCAUCCUUGUGGUAGCACUGUUUUCCCGGGUGGUCGCUCCAUGUUCCAAUUAACAUAAUGAUCUUAUCGUCAACAGUAAAUAACAAACUGAUAAUAAAAGUAUGAUCAUGAAUAAUGUGUAUCUCCAUACCCAAAACCACAUAAAGCAAUAGCAUGUACUACCUAAAAAUUCAGUGGUAAACAAGGUAUAAAGAUAGCCAAACUAGGGUAACCUAUUGGGUCCCAUCAAAAUUAACCUAUGUAGAUCAUUAUGAUUAAUAAGAACAUGAUUGGGUAAAAAGAAGUGAUCAAAGGCACAACUUGCCUAGACUCGACAUAAUCUUGUUGUCCAGAUGCUACCCAAAAGUUGGGCGUUAGGUUCCUCGUCACCUCGCCUCUACUCGUAACAAUACGUAAAAUCAAGCAAAUAAUGGACAUAGUAACAUUACACCAAAGCAUAAGAAUAAUCUGUGUGGGAGUAUUCUACGCGUGGUUACGAGGUCGUAGGUUCAAGAACUACUAAAUUCGGAGUUAAAACGAAGAACUUAUGAAUAACACGACAUUUUAGGUACAAUAAAUCUAAUAGAUGGGACCUAACAGAUAUUGCAUUUAACUAAGCAGAUAUUAAAUUCAAAUAAUUCAGUUGGUAUUAAUAACUUUAACAAUUAUUUAUAAAAUAUGUAGGUUACAACUAUAAAUUAGAUUAACUAGAUUGUUUAGCUAAUUAACAUUAAUCAAAUAAAUUAUUAAUUAAUUAUCUAAAACAUGUGGUAUGAUUAAAACAAUGGUAUUGCUAUGUACGCAAAAAUAAAUAUGAACCUAACACAACUUGAAUGAAAUAAAUCAGACGUCUAACACAAAAUAUAUCACAUGUUUAAUAAAUUAGUAGGACUGCACAAAAAUAGUUGACUUAACGCGAUCUGAUUGGCUAGAUCGGGGUCAUAUAAAGAAUUAUAUUAAGGCGGUAAGGGGUAGGCUGCCAUUUCGUGUUCUGCCAUUUCUAUUCUCCGCACUGUCUUUCUCAUCCCCCCUCCCCGCAAAUCCCAUUCCCAUUCCCACGUGCAUCCCACGCCUAGCUAAAAUUAAAUUAAAAAAACACAAAUGUGGCUCCAAUGGGAUUCGAACGUGCGACCUCUCAAGAAAAUAUGCUCGUAGCUACCACUACACCACAUGUGUGUUUAUGUCAAUAUUUGUUACAGUAAAAAUAUAUACUACAUCUCUCCCAAAGCCCACCUGCUACCUUUGCACAAUGUGUAGUAAUAGAUAAUUAUCAACGAGAUUCCUGAAUUAUAUUUUUGGAUAGAGGGAGUAGUAUUUAAAAAAUAGCCUUGCAUGCAAUUUCUUUUGUUUGAAUAAUGUUUUCAACUUAAAUUCUUUUUUAUAUGUGUGACAUUUAUUCUCCGUAAUAUUUUUCCAUGGCUCUGACUUGUGAGUCAUUUUUAUAAACCAAUGCCAAAUAUGAAUCCAUGUUUCUUACUUGGAAACCCUGAACAAACACCACUGCCAGGAGGCGCUCGCGUUGGCGUCGCUCAUCGACGACGAAAAGAAGCUUGUUGACUGUCAGUUCGACCUCUGGAAGCAGUACUACGUGACCGCAUGCAUCGCUGUGUUCGACAAUCUCCGACGCAGUCGCCGCUUGGACGCGGUCCAGAGCGGCUGCACCGCGCUGUCCAUAUUCAAAUAGGGGGACCUCAUGGUCAUCGCCAACGCUGGCGACUCUCGGGUUGUUCUGGGCACCGCAUCCGACAACGGCGCCGUCACACCGUCCAGCUCAUCAUCCACAUGAAGCUCAACCUCCCACGUAAGUCACUACUGACCGGCCAUGAAUUCUUGUGUGCUGGGACGACGGUCGUUGCUGACGUUGUGUGAGUGUCCUCGAACAAGAUUUAUGUAGAGGAGUAGCACAUCCGGUGGUGCAACGGCUAGGUGUACUACCUCGCUGAUGAGCCCGGGGUGCACUUCGUUUGGCAGCCCAACCAAGAGUCAUCGGUACUCGCCAAGUCGUGCACGUUCGACGACUACUAUAUCAAGGACUAUGACGUCAUCUUGGCACCAGAGGUGACACAGAGUAGGACCGACAACAAUGACCACUCGCCAUCGUCGAGGUAGCUUUUGUGCUGGCCUGCCUUUAAUUCUCUUCGCAAACACAUACACUUGCUUUUUUGUUUAAGCAAGCGUGCAUGGUGGUGCGUACCUGAUGACUGACAAUGUACGAGGGAACUUAUACCGGCAGGUGUGACACGUGCUCUUCAAUGAUGAGAUCAUGCAAAUCGUGACAUAUAUCGAAGUCUGCAUGAUACUGAUGGUUGCAAUGGAAUAGUGAAACAGCUAAAUUAAAAUAACAAAAAUUAUGUAUGGCUAGGAUUACAAAUGGAUUAUGAAAUAUUUUUUAUAACAAUAUAAGACACAUUUUAUAUAUAAGUUAUUAUGUUAUUAUAUGUUCCCGUUGCAACGCACGGGUACUCACAUAGUAAAGAAUUAUGAGGUAAAUAAAGUAAUAUAUGAGAUCUAGGUGUGGCCAUUUUCUACAUUCCUCCCUCAUAGUAUGAUUCUUACCGGCUUAUAGUGGCGGGAUUGUGUCUGACCACAUGACCCGUCGACUUCAGGGUGGAUCCAUUCCUCCGACGAGCAAUGCCACGGUUCCCCGAUGAUGUUCCCUCACGGAGAGGUUGCAGACAUGCACGGUGUAUACCAUCGACCACCCCCGCCCGCAUGCUGGGCGUAGAUCAAUGACAUAGUCGAAUCUCCGGUACGAUGCUCCCCUUCUCUCUCCCAGUUUUCGCUCGAGAACAACGUCAUCUAAUCUCUAUUGGUG